Molecule: unclassified non-coding RNA, 259 nt
Filed under: uncultured fungus
Lineage: Eukaryota; Fungi
Description: sequence contains ITS1
Source: RNAcentral
AAGUGAACCGUUGGCCGCAGAUCGGCGCCCGGCGCGCCGUAGGCGCUGACCAAGUAGCUGCCGUCAAUUUUCGGCGUACGGAUUUCCGAGGUCUCCGACUCGAAUUCCGGAUCGCGCGUCAGGACGAAGUAUUCCACUUCCUUAUUGCGGCGUUCCUCUUCGGGCAGGUUGCGGUCCUUGCACUCCCGGCUAUAGAACAAAGCCCCUUGGAGGAGGCCGGGCCCCUGCGCGGCGCCGGCCAUUUCGGGGAGAGUGAUGG